RNAcentral lists this ribosomal RNA (484 nucleotides) under uncultured bacterium. RNAcentral's name for it is "partial 16S ribosomal RNA". It matches the Rfam family "Bacterial small subunit ribosomal RNA", at positions 30 to 507 of the family's 1533-position model. The record is from RNAcentral.
AUUGAACGCUGGCGGCAGGCCUAGCACAUGCAAGUCGAGCGGAUGAAGGGAGCUUGCUCCUGGAUUCAGCGGCGGACGGGUGAGUAAUGCCUAGGAAUCUGCCUGGUAGUGGGGGAUAACGUCCGGAAACGGGCGCUAAUACCGCAUACGUCCUGAGGGAGAAAGUGGGGGAUCUUCGGACCUCACGCUAUCAGAUGAGCCUAGGUCGGAUUAGCUAGUUGGUGGGGUAAAGGCCUACCAAGGCGACGAUCCGUAACUGGUCUGAGAGGAUGAUCAGUCACACUGGAACUGAGACACGGUCCAGACUCCUACGGGAGGCAGCAGUGGGGAAUAUUGGACAAUGGGCGAAAGCCUGAUCCAGCCAUGCCGCGUGUGUGAAGAAGGUCUUCGGAUUGAAAAGCACUUUAAGUUGGGAGGAAGGGCAGUAAGUUAAUACCUUGCUGUUUUGACGUUACCAACAGAAUAAGCACCGGCUAACUUCGUG